This 276-nucleotide ribosomal RNA is filed under the name Clostridioides difficile. Its description in RNAcentral is "partial 23S ribosomal RNA". It matches the Rfam family "Bacterial large subunit ribosomal RNA", at positions 224 to 503 of the family's 2925-position model. Lineage: Bacteria; Bacillati; Bacillota; Clostridia; Peptostreptococcales; Peptostreptococcaceae. The record is from RNAcentral.
AGAAAUUCGAUUCCGUAAGUAGCGGCGAGCGAACGCGGAUUAGCCCAAACCAAUAAAGUUUUCUUUAUUGGGGUUGCGGACAUAUCAUAACGAAGAGGUAUCGUAAUUGAAGAGGUUUGGAAAGACCCACCACAGAAGGUAAUAGUCCUGUAUGUUAAACGAGAAGACUUUAGAUAUGAUCCAGAGUACCACGGGACACGUGAAACCCUGGGGGAAGCAGGAGGGACCACCCUCCAAGGCUAAAUACUACCUAGUGACCGAUAGCGUAUAGUACCG